UUUCCGUAGGUGAACCUGCGGAAGGAUCAUUAUUGAAUACGUUUGGUUCUGAUGCUGGCUCUUCACUGAGCAUGUGCUCGAUCCAUAACUAUUUAUCUUCUCUUGUGCACCUUUUGUAGUCUUUCAGAGCAAGUGAUAACUCUCGCAGCAAUGCGGUUUGGGGGACUUGGGCGUGAGCCCUUCCCCUGCGUUUGCUUCUUUGGAGGGCUAUGUUUUCAUAUACACUAUAAAGUUACAUAAUGUCUUUUAAAGUUUUUGCUAGCCGCAGUCAUUAAACCUAUACAACUUUCAGCAACGGAUCUCUUGGCUCUC
RNAcentral lists this unclassified non-coding RNA (312 nucleotides) under plant metagenome. RNAcentral describes it as "partial contains small subunit ribosomal RNA, internal transcribed spacer 1, and 5.8S ribosomal RNA". The record is from RNAcentral.